ACCAAAUUAACUUAACGGUAAAGUAUCUGUUUUGUAAACAGACUAUAUAGGUUCAACUCCUAUAUUUGGUA
This 71-nucleotide transfer RNA is filed under the name Candidatus Vidania fulgoroideorum. RNAcentral's name for it is "tRNA-Thr". It matches the Rfam family "tRNA". From Rfam's summary of the family: Transfer RNA (tRNA) molecules are approximately 80 nucleotides in length. Their secondary structure includes four short double-helical elements and three loops (D, anti-codon, and T loops). Lineage: Bacteria; Pseudomonadati; Pseudomonadota; Betaproteobacteria. The record is from RNAcentral.